CACGCAGGCGGUUUUACGCGUUUCGCGUGACAGCGGGCGGCUUACCUGCCCGAGUAUGCGAAAGACGGUAGGACUUGAGGGCCAGAGAGGGACACGGAAUUCCGGGUGGAGUGGUGAAAUGCGUAGAGAUCCGGAGGAACACCGAGGGCGAAGGCAGUGUCCUGGCUGGUGACUGACGCUGAGGUGCGAAAGCCAGGGGAGCGAACGGGAUUAGAUACCCCGGUAGUCCUGGCCGUAAACGAUGACCACCAGGUGUGGGAGGUAUCGACCCCUUCUGUGCCGGAGGAAACCCACUAAGUGGUCCGCCUGGGGAGUACGGUCGCAAGGAUUAAA
This 333-nucleotide ribosomal RNA is filed under the name uncultured bacterium. RNAcentral describes it as "bacterial SSU rRNA". It matches the Rfam family "Bacterial small subunit ribosomal RNA", at positions 568 to 899 of the family's 1533-position model. The record is from RNAcentral.